This 382-nucleotide ribosomal RNA is filed under the name uncultured eukaryote. RNAcentral's name for it is "partial 18S ribosomal RNA". It matches the Rfam family "Eukaryotic small subunit ribosomal RNA", at positions 592 to 976 of the family's 1831-position model. The record is from RNAcentral.
UGUAAGCGUAUACCAAAGUUGUUGCAGUUAAAACGCUCGUAGUCGGAAUUUGGCAGUUCCGGAAGUGUGCACGUCGUGUGCGCACUUUGCGGGGACUGCUUUUGUGGUCUUGCGUAGGAUGAGGCAAUUUCAUUAGUGAACGUCCUCACGCAACCACUCUUUACUGUGAGAAAAUCAGAGUGCUCAAAGCAGGCAUUUGCCGUGAAUGUAUUAGCAUGGAAUAAUAGAAUAGGACUCGGUUCUAUUUUGUUGGUUUGUUGGGACUGAGUAAUGAUUAAGAGGGACAGUUGGGGGCAUUUGUAUUCCGGCGCUAGAGGUGAAAUUCUUAGAUUGCCGGAAGACAAACUGCUGCGAAAGCGUCUGCCAAGGAUGUUUUCAUUGA